GACGAACCGAGCGAACGUUGUUCGGAAUCACUGGGCUUAAAGGGCGCGUAGGCGGGCUGUCAAGUCUGGGGUGAAAUCCGGCAGCUCAACUGUCGAAUAGCUUCUGAUACUGGUCGUCUUGAGGGGGGUAGGGGCAUGUGGAACUUCCGGUGGAGCGGUGAAAUGCGUAGAUAUCGGAAGGAACGCCGGUGGCGAAAGCGACGUGCUGGACCCUUUCUGACGCUGAGGCGCGAAAGCCAGGGGAGCAAACGGG
RNAcentral lists this ribosomal RNA (253 nucleotides) under uncultured bacterium. RNAcentral describes it as "partial 16S ribosomal RNA". It matches the Rfam family "Bacterial small subunit ribosomal RNA", at positions 524 to 776 of the family's 1533-position model. The record is from RNAcentral.